RNAcentral lists this long non-coding RNA (2112 nucleotides) under Salmo salar (Atlantic salmon). RNAcentral's name for it is "lncRNA (ENSSSAG00000086476.1)". Lineage: Eukaryota; Metazoa; Chordata; Actinopteri; Salmoniformes; Salmonidae. The record is from RNAcentral.
AUCCAUGAUGCAUUGUGGGUAAAUGGUGAUUGACUGAUCUACAAAUAGUCAGUCGGCUGCAAUGUCGAACAAGCCCAAUUUUGGUCCAAUAAUGCAACACAAUAAAAAGCGGCUUGACAAAAGGGAUCCGCUCAAACGCACCCAUUAACAUUCUUGAAUUUGUCUUGAGUCUGAGGUCACUGGUAUCCUUCUAUCACAAUAAAACUACAAUUCCAUACAUGCCAGGCUGUAGACGUCAUAACCAAUUGCAAGAACCAACUUCCUGGUGGUAGAGUGCAGGAUCAGCGUGGGAUAAAAAUAAAAAUCUCCGUUAAGUGAGUAUGUUAACUUAAUUAUACCACUGUUAUAUAGCCUUGAUUUAAAUAGUUGUCGCUGUGUCUACUGCGAAACUAGAUCAAAGUUGCUAGGGCGAUGAGGCGGUUUUAUAAUGCAAAUAAGCUAGCUAAAUACCUAACGCUAGCCUAAUUGAUUACAGACGCUAACUGACUUUAUGUAGCUAACGGUUAGUGGCUAAGUUAAUGUUAGUUGUAAAGAGGCAAUCUGUCUUUUGCUUUUCCAGUACUAAAGUAAUGUCUAUUCAGUGCGUUGUGCAUAGGCUAUUUCAUGCUCAUGGAAUAGCUCUUUUGGGCGUGGAACUAUCUAUGGUUGAGACUUUAAAAUUACAGAGACAAUUUGACUGUUUUUCACUUGUAUACCAGUACACGGUUUGGGAUUGGAGUUGCUGUUGGCGAUCAGGAUGAUUGACGUGCGGGCGUGGGCGGAGUACCUGGUGGAAUGGGCGGCCAAGGACCCGUACGGCUUUCUGACCACUGUCAUCCUGGCGCUGACACCCCUCUUCAUCGCCAGUGCCCUGUUGUCGUGGAAACUGGCCAAGAUGAUUGAGGUGCGCGACCGCGAACAGAAGAAGAAGCAGAAACGUCAGGAGAAUAUUGCCAAGGCCAAGAGGACCAAGAAAGACUGAGCUGUGGAGGGAGAAAGAAUAGCUACAGUACACGGCUAUGCUCAACACUCUUCACUUGCAACACUGCUCCCCCUCGCCUCCUCAACCCAGUCCGGUGCAGGACCACAGACCAUCACUCCUGUCCAGUGUAGGAAGGAUUGUAGGCCCGACAUGGUGGCUGUACAGAGCUGAGAGGGAACUGUAUAGACAGAGGAGGCUCAUUUGAUUGGGCUAUCAGCAUGUAAACUGGGAUUGUCUGAUUAUGGUGGUGUUGCAGUACUUAGCAUUCCAUUUGGAACAACUCCACUCCAAUGAUUUCAUUAACUACUUUGUUUUUCUCCAUUUUAAAUGACUUAUUACAUUUCUGAAUCACUUGCUUGUUUUUAUUAAAUGAAGUUCUAAAUAAAAUACGCUUGUAUUUCUUGCAAAACAUAAUUCCCCAUAACCCUGCCUGUAUGACACUUCAUUGAAAACGGUUGAGUUCCAACCCGACUUGAUGCGCAGGCAUUGCACUGCAUCAACCAAUGGUUGUAUGUCGUCAACUGUUCAGUCGGGUGUAGACUGCUAUAUCAUAGCUGCUAAUUAAACACCUAUCCAAUCAUUUUGAGAACUGGCAGGAGUCUGGUAUGGACUCGGGCAGGAACUCGACCAAGAUGUGCUCCAGGUUGUUUUCAUGCAUGGGCUUCAUUUAGUUAAAAAUAAUAUUUGGUUAAAAGGUUUGUGCUGUCUGAUGGGGUGUAUAUCAUACCACAUAUGUAAAGCCAUGAAAAAAAACCUUGUCACACUGAAAAUAUUUAAUAUAUGUAUGCCAUUUUGGCAAACACUAGAUCCAAAUCAACUUACAAUAGUGUGUGCAUGCCUUUUUGUAUGGGUGGCCCCAGCGGGAAUCAAACCCACCAUUAUGACAUUGCGAUCACCAUGAUCUACCAACUGAGAAACACCGUACCACCUACUUGCCAGCACUUACAUCACAUCCCAGUUUGCUCAAGCCUGGUAGUUUAAUUUACAAUCCACAAAAAAUCUAAUAUACCUUGAUUACAACACAACUCGUAUACAAAGCCUUUACAGUUUAGUUGGAGAGAUCAGAAAAUGUGUCUUCCACACCCCAUGAAUGCCACACACUAUAUCAAGUAUUCCCUGAUUCAAUGCAAUAAAAGGUUUUUCCAUGUAGG